ACCUGCUCAAGCCUGGCACGGGAGGAGUUAAGCCGGAGUGGGCACCUUGGCCCGCCGUGAUGGCCAGUGUCCAGCUCCCCACCCCCAUGCCUUUCUUCCUUUUUGCCUUUUUCCUUCUUAAUUAAUCAUACGCUGCUGCCCAAUUUAAAUAUGGAAAUGCCCAGGCCGAGGCGAUGCAAUUAUUCAUGAGGCCAGGCGGGCUGUCCGGGGCUCUCAGGCUAUGGGGCGCAUCGUGGCAUCGCUUCCUUUCUGAUGUGUGUGAAAUUAUGUGCACAAAAGGCGCCUCCUUAUCUGGGUGUGUGAACUAAAUAAAUAAAUAAGGGCUUUUGUUUGUUUGCCCGCUCAUGCACAUGACUGUUUUGACUAAACUGCUGGCGUUGUCUGCGCCUUUAUGGGGCUCAGGAGACUGGGAGGCAGGGGGCCCCCGGGCUGGCCCAGAGGCUGGGGGGCAACCGCCGGGCACCUGGGGCCCGCUCCCUCCCCUGGCACCCCUCACUACUGCGCCCCCCGCACACACACCCUCGCCGGAAAGUUCGCCCUGCCCAGGCUGGGCUCCCAGGCAGCCUGGCACUGUGCCAGGCUCGCCGCAGAGCGCAGGCAGCGGGGUGGGGCGAGCAGCAGAGGCACAGAGGACGUGGCCGGGCGCCCUGGGCAAGAACAAGACCCGAGGCCAGGGACCAGGGGCCCAGAAGGAGGCAGCGAGCGCCGGGCACCGGGACGCGGCUGGUGGCCGAGGGCCUGUGCGGCGUGGGCACGUGAGCGAAGCGCCGGCCCCGGCGAGGGCACCACCGAAGACCCGUACGCCGCGGGCACGAUCGGCUUCCAGGCGACUCCGGAGAGCGGUAGGUGCGUUCUUCACUUUCGCUACUUUGUAUUUAAAUAUUAAUGAAGGGAUUUCUAAGAGAGGCCCUUGUUCGGGGCAGGCCUUUCGAAGUCGUGAGGGCACCGAAGGAGGUUGUCCCGGAACCUGAAGCCCCACCAGCCUGCAAGAACUCCGAGGUCGUCCUCAAUCCGGAACUUGGAAUUUGUGAAAUACUGCAGCUUCCAGGCUCAGGUGUGCAGACUGCUAGCCAGAGAGGAAUUUGUUGAAUAUGUAAAAUAAGCACUAGCAGGCAUUUUAAACAAUAGAGAAAAUAUCUGUGUUUCGGGGUAGAUGUGUUUGAGAAGGUUAUGUGGAAACCACAGCCCUUUCUUGAAAAAUUGAACCUUUGAUUUACCUUUCAUUUACUUCCUAAAUCCUCCCUUCUUCCUCUCCCCCCACCCCCCCACCGGCAGGGCAGUUCUGAGAGCUGAUCUAAGGGAAAACCUCGGUCCAGCGUUAGCAGCAGUCCGCUGUGGACCAAAGGGCCUGGUGUGGAAGCAGUUGUUUAUGGUAACAUAAAACGAAAAACAACUCAUAACUUUUUGUAAUAAAUGCCCCUUUAUAGGUGGCUUGCGCACAGGCCUGGCCAGCCACCCUGGGGAGGUUGUGGGGAGCAAGAAAGGGGUGAAGGAAUGCUUGCUUGCCCUAAUUACAGGGUUUUAAGGGAAAGCUGAAAUUAAUUUCUGCAAAGUUGGAUUUCAAAAGCCGAGGUGGUCUCCGCAGGCCAGCAAUAGCUUCGUUUUAUUUUAGUUCAUCAGUUCUGGCUAUUUGGGAUUUUUAAAAUGUGUGUCUGUACUUGUGUGUACCUAUCCUGGGUUAAAAUGAAACCCAUAGCCAGUGGGUAUUAAGCCUGCUAAAUUUUAAUACGACUGGGCCACAGGUGCGAUUUCCCCUCUGCCCUCGGCACCCUGUUGAUGUGAUUUGGUUUACCUGGCUGGGUGCUUUCACCACAGUCAUGGGGUGGGAGCCUCUUCCCAUAACACCCCAGUGUCCUGGGCUGACAACCGGGGAAUGCAGGGAGGGCCUGAGUUGACAGGCCUUCCUCUUUCUGGGCCACUUGGUUCCCCUUGCUCCUAGGCGAGAACCCCAAGGAAUGAGGAGACUAUUUCAGCAGUCUGGCCGGCUAUGGCAGAAGCUGGAAGUUUGUUUCUGUCCUCAGAGGCCAUCUUUGUGCUAGCCUGCUUUCCCCUGCCCUCCCUCCACAUGCUUUUGAAUUUUUAUUUAUCACUUUAUCAGAGGCAGCUGGCAGACAUGAAAUGGGGUGGGACCUUCAGGGUGAUCUCAGAAGCAGAGGUGCCGCUGCUGAAGGCAUGCCAGUCUGGCCGGAGCUGCUGCUUGGCAUGGCGCUGGCAGUGGUGAGAUUAGUCAUACAAAGCUCAGGUUCCAUGGCAGCCUCACCUGCAGGACGCUGGAGAUGUUUUCCCUGGUCCACAGGAAGCCCUUGCCGUAGUGCUUGCUGGGCAGCAAUGGUGUGGUACCCUGCUAAGGCCAUUGGGUAUUGCCCAGGAUUAAUACAGACCUCAUGACAAGGGGCACCGUCUCUCCCUCUCCCCAGGCCAAUGGGCUGCACCCAAGGCAAGCAGCAAAGCUGGGGACCCGAGGAGGCAGGCAGUCCCUGGGCCUCAGAGUGAGGCUGUCAUUCGUCAAAACUGCCACAGAGUACCCGGGUCUACAGAAGGGGACGGGUUGAGUCUUCCGUGCACAGUGGGCCUGGCCAGGCCACCUUACCAUGCUGGAAAACACUAUGUCCACAUUUAUUUUGAGGACACACACCCACAAAGGAGGAGGCCCUGGAAACGGAAGUGGUGCUUGUCUGAUUUUUCUCACAGCCAGAUUUUAUGUAAGGAGCGGGAUACACAGGGCCCUGGAGGAAUGGACUGCAACAUGGGCUGGUGGGUGGAUGGGCCUCGGCUUUUUUGUUAAACAAGGGCCAAGCCCAGGGUGGCCUCUUGCUUAUGCCAGGCCCUUGCCAUGCCGAAGACCUGCUUGGAUGAGGGGUCUCCAGGCCACUGGCAAAGGCCCCAGCCAGGCUCAUCCAUGAGGCCCACCAGCAGCUCCACCAUGGCUGGGUCUUGUGCCCACUACCCAAGCAGGUGCAGCCAGCCGUUGGCUUUGCCCAGCAGGGCCGGCAUGGGGCUCUAAAGAGGCGUUGCUUUCCAUCCCCGUGGUUUGCAGCUGCCCGGCAGCCUCUCUGUAAAACUCCCUCGCUCCGUCCCCCACGGGGCCCUGGAGCCUGUCCCAGCCCAGCAUGGAUGAGGUCAUACUAGGAGGCAGCAGAGAGGGGUUCGAAGGUCUUUGCCCACUCAGAUGGGCUCCAGCCAGGCAGAUGUGUCCUUCUGUCCGGCAGAGCCUCUUGUGUCCUCAGUGAGGGGCGGUGUUUGGGAAGGAAAGGACAAGAAGCCACUGUUGCUCACUUGUGUGUUGCCCUGGUUGGGUUUUGAAGGUACAUUUGCAUGUUAGAGAGGAGGAAGACUCUUACGGAAAUCUCAGCAAGCAGGAGCGUCCACACUCACAGCAGGGCCUGGAGCCCAAGCAUCCUGAGCUCAAGUCUGCUUCAUUGUGUGACCUAUUGGGUGAGUCCUAUCACCUCCGGGAGCCAGAAGUUCCCUAAGCUCUAAAGCAGAAAUAUGGAUACCGACAUUAUUCAAACAUUGUUUCCAUAAAGUGCUGUUCCUGACACAUGUCUGGGGGCAUUAAGUGGCUUCUGUCUUGGUCCUCGUUGUAAGUAACAAGGCCUCUAGUUACAAAUAUAUUUUGUUUAUUGUUACCACUUAUUAUUAUUUCAUGUAUAGUAUCAUAUUCUGAGAAACAGAGAUCCCAGUUUUGGUUUCCCAGGCACGGGCAUGAAGUUGUUUACAUCCCUGCCCUGCAGGUGGUAGCAGAUGUGGACUUAGUGGCUUUGGAGGGGUGAACUGGGAGGAGCUGGCAAAGCCAGCACUUUCCUUGUCCUGGAACUCACUGUGAACAUGACUGCCUGGAUAAUUUUGUACCUCACCUUAGGUACAGGACAUAGGAUAGGGUUCCCUUGGACCCACAUGUACUGAUGGCAGAGGUGCUCCUUCCUAGGAAAGGAUGGGAACUUCCCUGAGGAUGCCAUUCAGGGAGUCACCCACAUGCAGGUUCAGGGUCUUACCUUCACUCCCCUUCAGGGUCCAAAGUGGCUACACCAGCUGCCAUUGUCCUUCCUGGACAUGCAGGUGGCAUUUUGAUCAGAGAAUUUUGCCACCCUAGAGAGCUGAUUGUUCCUUGGCCCAGUACAAGAGAACAUUUACCAAAUGGCUUGCUUUGGAGGAUUUCAUCUCUCAGUGGAUUGUCCAGGAACACCCAGCCUGAUUGCCCUUUCAAAACAUCUCAUAGGAACAAGAAGGAACCCUAAGUGGCCCUGGUCAUGCCUUGUGAUGGGAUAGAGCCACAGAGAGAGAAAAAGCGACAAUUGUCUCCAAGCAGAGACAAUGGAUCUUUUAUAUGAAAUAUUUGUUUUCGGGGUUGACCAGUGUUACAUUGGCUGGGACAUUCGGUGGAACCCCAGUGUCUGGGUAUUGCAGGCUGUGGACACCUAGCUAGAGACAGAGAUCUAUAGGAAAAAAAAAAAGAAAGCCCCUGACCUGCGGCUCUUGGGAAAUUUCUGUGGGCAUGUCUGGCUUUCUUUGUCGAGUGGAGUUUAAACUUUCAAAAGUUUUUUUCCUUCUGCAAUAUUUUUUAAAGGCUCUGUGAGGAGAAGUGGCCAGGUUUUGGACCAUGGGCCAGAUGGGACCUCCUUCAGGCCAGGCCUUGUUGGCCUUUGUCUACCAGCAGCAGGGUCACCAAAUGAAAGUGAGAAACAGGGACUAGGAAGAGGGAGGGUGGGUCCGCAGAGGGCAGGGACUGGGGCUUUGAUGGGGCCAUUUGGGCCGUGUUUGUGGUUUUCUAGAAUCAUCUGGUCCUCCCCAGAUCCUGUGCUCAGAUGAAUGUGGGAGUCUGACAGGACCUAGAGAAGCUGCACACGGGCCCUCAAACACCCUUCUAGCACCACAGGGUGUUUUUGUGACUUGUGACAAGCCUGGCCCUGAGUUAGUCCUGAAUGGAUAUGUUCUAAAUUCAUAGAGUGAGCACAAGUCCCUCUGAGGCCUCCAUGUGCGUGUCUGCAUGGGCACCGUGUUAGAGCUGCCCCUGGCUGUGGACCUUCUAGGGGGACAGGGCCUGGGGUGUGGGUUCUUGUAACGGAUACCACUGUGACACUGCCACCCUCCCUGGGUGAUGAGGGAACCUUCCCUGCCACACUUCUUGGUCCUCCAAAAGAUUCUGUUGGCAAAUAAUAUUUGUUUUCAAAAUAAGGUGUUUUUUUUUUAAAUUACUGUCGUAUCUUUUUUUUAUUUAUUUAUUUAUUUAUUUAUUUAUCUUUUUUGGUACCGGGGAUCAAACUCAGGACCUUGCUCUUGCGAGGCAGGCGCCGGAACCACUAGCUAAAUCCCCGGCCCUUUUAUUUAUUUUUUUAAAUGUGGAAACCUCUUAGCUGCGGCCUGCUAUGGCUUGUGCUCCCUUCGGGGCCAUGGGGAGAAGUGGUAAAACUGAAAUCCUAUGAGGUGACACAGAAAUGAAAUCUUGUGAUGUGACACAGAAAACGACACCUAGGUCAUAGGUUUAUAUCUGUUUUGUUUGUUUGUGGGGUGGUGGGCUCAAAGGUAAACGGCAGCUUGGUCUUGGCAUCACAUUUGGGUGAGAAACUUUGGCAGGAGUCUUGAUUCUGGGGUCUCCCCUUUCCCCAUGGCCCAGAUCCCCCUGUGCACAGAUGUCUGGGACCCUCUGUCUGUGCAGGGCCUGGGGAGGUGACUGAGCAGAGAUGUGACCAGCAGAGGCCAUGGUUAGCGUCAUGAAAUAAGGAGGUUGUGUUUGUAAAAUGUGCACAGGAGGUGUACAAAGUGAAAAGGCCAAACUAUAUGUAUUUUAAGAUUCAGUAGGGUUUUCCCUCAAGAUUAGAGAAUGCAUCCCGGGUCCUGGAUCUCUGGUACCAGGGUGGGUUUUCCUGUAAACCCCCUUUCCUUAAAGCAGGGAUUUCAGAUGUCAGGAAGAACAUUUAGCUGAAAUAUUUACCUGCUGAUUUGUGCCUCUUAAAUUUAGAAAUUCCUUUCACGUGUUUAAGAGAGAUAUUUACAUUCAAAUCAGGUUUUUAUAAUUACAUUUUAAAUUAUAAUAAAAGGAUGAAGCCAAGGCUGCAGGUUCCCAUAGAUUCCACAGUGGGAGGAGCUUUGGUGAGUGGGGGGGUGUGCAUCACUCCUAUCUGCCUGAGGUGGUUCUGGCCAGAGGGACCCAGGAGCCAGAGUCCCUGGGUGUCACCUGUGGAGCCUUCCCCAACCCACCAGGAGGAAGCUUGUACCUCACUGCUGGUGUCUGAGCUCACAGCCACAGUCCUAUACCCUGAGCCCACCGUGGCCCAGGGACCUGCUAGGGCAGCAGCAGGGCCGAGGCUGUCCUGGACACAGCAGUGGCCACCGCUGGUCUUGGCGAGAUGGGAUGGUGGAGAGGGACCUCCUCCUAUAGCUCUGACUCCUCUCCUCAUCCUGGCAGGCUUCUGAGAAGCCACCCAUGUUUGGUAGCUUCCCUGGUGCUGCAGGCUGGUGGGCAAGCCCCACUCCACCGAGCAUGGGGGACCUUUUCCUCCUGGGGCUGGGCUCCUGGCAGCUAUGCCAGGCCAUAACUGGCACGAGUCUCCAGCAUUCCUGGUCAAGCGCAUGGCAUCGGAAUCCUACCUGCUUUGUCUGUGGCGUCAGCUGGCAAAGUAGUCACGUGGCCAGGUGCGUAAGACCAGUACCAAGGACCCAGGGCUCCUCCCGGGCUGCUUCCUUCUUGCUGUCUCAUCUGCCCUCCAUCCUGGCUUUUGGUGUGGCUCUGAGCAGGCACCAAGCAGUGUUAGAAUAAAUCAUGACCCAGGUGGCUGGAAGCUUCCAUCCUAAGGUGGCUUUAAACAUCGUCUGCCCAGCUGCCUUUUCCUGGCAUCAUGGACAAAAGGCCCUAAAGUGUCCCAGAUGCGUGAGCCUCCAUGGGGAGCAACUAUCCCCCAGCACAUAGCUGGCCCUGCCACACCCAGUGUCCCUGAGGUGACAUGGCUGCUGGGGACCCCCUUCUUAUGCCCCAGGCUGUCUGUCCUGCAUGAGUCCAGCCUGGAUCACAUCAACAGCGAGGUGAGGCCCAGCUGCCCUGAUGACCCCCGUUGGAUGCCUACAGGACAGGGCAGUGGGCCUGAUAGACUUCAGUGAGUGUGCACAGGAAUCCCCAGGCCUACCAGGCUGGGCAGAGGCUGUGACACAGGAGUAGGGAUUAUCCCUACAGUAUCUCCAUAGUGGUGGCAAGAACUGGCUCUGGUGACACUGAAGGAUUUGCAAGGCUCCAAAAGGACAUGGUUGACACACUGCCCUCUCUUCCUCCACCAUGACUGCCUGGACUCCUCCAGGAUCCUCUUGGCCCCACUGGGCAUUGGGGUGGUCUAGUGGAUACCAGGCACAGCGCUCAGCCCUCUUUUCCAUUCUGCACCCCAGCAGCCCUGAAUAGUAACCCUUUCUUUAUACACAUGGGGAGACUAAGGCUGGAGAGGAUUCUGGCUCACCCUCAGUUGGGUGGCCAUGGGACACCGUUAAGAUUCAAACACGUGGUCCAGACCCCUGGCCACAAUAGUGACCGCCUCCACGGUUGGCUCCAAGGGCCGUGGUCGGGGAGCAGCUGGGACGGGGUCCCCAGGUUCCCUCUUGAAGGAGCUAGCCAGGGUUCCGGCCACUGUCCAGUCCUCUACAGAGCUGGGGGUGGGAACAAUGUGGCCUCUAUCUGGGAUGAGCCAGGCCGCCUGGCUGCCCAGCCCCUCAGAGCAGCAGCAACAUGGCGCCCGGGCCACACUGCCUGUCCAUGGGGCUGGCUGGUGCCCGGGCCAGGCUGAGCAAGGCAUCCCGGCGUCCUUCUUGGGGGGGCAGGCGCUGAGUGGCCAGAUAAUAAGGUGUCCUUCUCCCUCUCCCCCAGCCAGCCCCCUCCUUUUUUGGUGGUGGGUUUGGGGGUCUGGCCCACCCACCUCUGCCAUGUCUGCCAUCCUCUCGGCACCCACGAGCAUCUUUCGAAUAUUCCUGGUGGGCGGGGCCGAGCCACAGCGGCCGCCUCUGGCCCCCCCCCUUCCCGGGCAGCCAGUGCCAGAUGAGAGCAGGAGACAAAAGUAGCAUUUUCCUCGUCCUCCUGGGCCAGCAGCAGGGCCUUUCCCCAGCGCCACUUGCUCCUGGCAGUCCUGCCCUCCCUACCCAGUGCUGGAGUGGCCAGGGCUCAGGCCAGGACCCACAGACCCAGGGGUGAUGGGUGGCCAGAGCCCAGGAGGCCCGAGAGCCUGCCGGCCAGGAGCUGACACCUGGGGAUGGCCAGCUGGCCAGUGGGACCCACCCUCCUCCCCUGCCAGGGUGACCGGCCAGGGCAGGGGACAUCACCUCCACUUCCUGAUUUUUGUGCAAGCGUCUCCAUCCUCCGGCACCUCGAGUGUGGCUGUCACAGAGCAGAGCCUGCGCCGGUGGGCACUAGGACCCCACACCCAGGUCUUGCCGGCUGCUGGCCACUUCCCCAGGGACAGGGACACUGAAGCCCAGGUCGGUACAGUGCCCGUGGUACAGCUGGAAAUGGGAGCUGUCAGCCCGUCCUGGCCACUGCCUGAACCAGGCCCCUGAGGGUGAUGUCCAUGUGUCCCGUGGGCCUGGGGACUCCCAUGUGCCCCAUCCUGGCUGGGCUGGGUGCCGACCGCCACCCCUGGUGCCUCUCUGCAGCAGCGGGACCAGGGUUUCUGAGAAGUCAGGGCCGGCCCAGGGCUCUGCCGGGGAAAAGGCCUAGAACCCUUUCCAGCUUGGCCAUCAGCAGGUCUGGGACAGUGGCCCGGCCAGUUUGCCUUCUCUGUGGUGCCGCCUAGGACUCAGUGCAGCAGCCCAGUGUCCUGAGGGGUCUGGGGCCUGGGCUGUGCUGGGCACCCUCCCCAGCAGGGUCUGCCCUAGACCCCCAGCCUCACACGGACCCAGGCAUGCUCCCAUGGUCCCCGGUGUCCUGUGGGCACAAUGGCAGGUAAAACCAUGACCCAGGUGGGCCCUUCAUGUGGACUCAGGCACAAGUGCACCCCAGGUCUCUGACCACCAAGCUCUCGCAUGCAGGGAGCCACAAGGGCAUAGUUCCUGGACCAGGACAGGGUCCCAGAGGGCUGUGACACACGUGACCGGCUGCUUUGGUUGUGUUUUCCAGUACUAAGGAUUGAACCCCAGGGGCUCGUGCAUGCUAGGCAAACACUCUACCACUAAGCCAUGGCCCCAGCCCUUUAAAAAAUUUUUAUUUUGAGAUAAGAUCUGGCUAAGUAGCACAGGAUGGCCUUGAAUUUGCAAUCAUCCUGCCUCAGCCUCCCAAGGAGCUGGGCUCACAGGUGUGCGGGGCAUGGUUUUUAAUUGACUUGAACUUGCUGUCCUUGAAGUCUGCUCAGAUGGACCCAGGAUGGGGGGGGGCACCAUGGCAGCCCUGCUGGCCCUGUCCCCUACCCACUUCCGGCUGUUGUCACUCGCUCCCUGGCUGGCAGCGCCUAUCCAAACUUGGUGCCUGUGGUAGGCACACAACCCACACUGAGCCGCAGCCACCAUGCUGGCCUGAGGGGAGUCACCUGUCCCUGGGGUCCCCAGCCAUCACUGCCACCCAUGUGUCAGGAGCUGGGGAGACAGAGGUGGGGGGGUGGGCAGGAAGUCAAGGCUAGAAUGAGGGCAGGGGCUGGAACCCCACCACACCCUCAGCCUGGGCAGGGUCUCAGGGGGACCCCAGACGGCAGGUGAGCUACCGAUCUCAUCUGUGGGUGAAGGAUCGAGGGCAGUUGACCAAGGGGCCUCCGGGCAGGCUGGGAGGGACAGGUCUGCUCUAAUACCAGACAGUCAGUUUGCCCUAUUUGCCUUUAAAAAUACUGUGUGCUUGGUCUUUCUGUCCCAGGAAAAUGUGGACAAAAGCCAGUGUCGGGGUCCCCGCACCACACAGGUGCCUGCCAGACCCAGAGGGCCCUGAGGUGGGAUGGGGCCUCCUUGGUGUGGGGCUUCCUGGGGUCACCCUGGGCAGAAGCAUCCAGGCCCCUGGCAGCUGUGUGACCUCCGUCAGCUCAGUGCUUCUGGGUCUCUGUUCCCUGACCCCAGACACUGGGGAAGACUGACCCUCCCACACCACUGUGUGACUGUGCAGAAGCCACCGGAGUGAUGAGCAUCCAUACUGGCCUUCCCUGGGGGACAUGUGUGCCCCGGCACUGGCUCACAUGUUGGCAGCCAUAUUGGGAUCGUGAUUUGAACCCAACACCCCGUGACUGUGAGGUGGACCUGCCCCCCACUGAGGAGAAGAGCCUAGGGGAGGCCCACAGCAUACUCUCCACUCCUGGGAGUUGGCAGGGCAACUGUGGCUGCACAAGUGACGGGCUGGUGGUGGCACCUGCCUCAAUGCUGCCCAUGUUGCCAUAGCAACCCCACACUGUAAGGAAACCAUGGGCUUCUCCCCAAGUCUACCCUCUUGUUUUCUGACACAGACCCUGUCCCCCGCUGUGAAUCAGCUGGUCCUGAGUCUCUGGGUCUGUGAGGAUCAUCUGCCCCUCUGAAACUGCCCUGCAGGGCUCAACUGCUGGCCAUACCACCCCACAGGGCUCAGUUUACCUGUCUGCAGAGUGGGAUUUUUCCUCCACUGCAUGGGCCAGGAGGGGGCCUAGAGCUGUCUUGUCUGUCUCUGCUACAUCCAGGGCAGAGCAGGGGAGGAAGACAUCCCUGCAGCCACCUAGGGUCAUCCUUUAUGGGUUCUGUGGGUUCACUGAGUGCCCACUCUCUGCUCUGGACAGGAUGUGACAGCAGCAGUCUUAGUUGGGAGCUGUAGUCUCAUGACCAAGGGUCAGGGAAGGAGAUGCGGGUCUGUGGGGGUCACAUAUUUGGGAAGUGGCCGGGACAGAGUGGCUUGACACACAUAGGCAGGCUCCCAGUGCCACACCAUGGCUGAAGCCAGAAGGUGGAGAGAGGUCCUCCUAGCAUCCCCUUGAUGGUCACCCAGCAGCUGCACUAGUCUCUGGUAUGACAAGUCCUGUUGGCUGUCCUUGGGCCGGUGGGCAGCAUCAGUCCCUGGAGUAUAGGCCAGCCCUUGGGCCACCAGGCUGAAGGCCACCAACCUAGGGAAAGAGAGCCCACCUUCCCUAAGGCCAAGGUGAAGAACUUUUAAUCCAGGCUGGGCAGUCCACGGUGGAGAGCUUCAGUGCUCUUGGGCAGGAGGUAGGUUCUAGAAGGCCUGCCUGCCCUGCUCCCUGGCCAGGCCAUCCCAGGCCUCAGUACAGUGCAGUGCCCAGUUUCUGGAGCGGAUGUCCCUCCUCCUCCUUCUCUCUGCCCGCUGUCCACUGUUCCCCGCCCUCUGGCUUCGGCCGCCUUUGUCUUCCCAAGCUCCACAAAAUGGCUGCUGCAGCCCUCCGCCAUUUUGUAACUGAAGUGGGCAGUGGCCUUAGGGGAAGGAGGAGGGAGACCCCUGCCCACUGCUUGCCCUGGGCAGCCUGGACGGAGCCCAGCACCAGCCCCCGCCUUGCCUGGUCUUGGCCAUGGCUGCCCUGGGCUUGGCACAGCCACUUGGCAAGGCAGCCCGGGAGACCUGGCCCCUCACCCAGUCCCACCCAGCCCCUUGCCACCACUGAGGCUUCCCCGCCAAGCAGACACUAAAGCCUCUCAGAGGUCAGGGGGAGCAUCUACGUGAAGGACGGUGUGGGAGCAUCUGGUAAAGGUGUCUCUCCAGGAGUGACGAGAUGUGGCCGGUGGCUGUGGCAUGGGUCAGGUCUUUGCUGUGGAGGAGGUCACUGGUGUACAUCAGGGCCCUGCCUCAGACCGCUGAGUGGCUCAGGCCCUUCAAAGAUGCCCGCUGUGGUUCCCAGACAGAGCCUUCUGCCACCUGGAGGUGACUUUUUUGCUCCUGGUCCCUCCUAAAGACCCCACCAAGGACGGGAUGGUCGGAUGCCACCCACUGCCCACCUGCCAAGGCCAGGACUGUCACACAUGUCACACCAGGCCUGGAGCCUCCUGGGAGGAAACACAGGAGCCCAGGCUUCCACAGGCAGGAAACACCCCCAAAGAAGGGCCAGGCCCCAGCCUCAAGGAUGGAGAGAUGGAGAUGAGAAUCGUUGGAGAUAAAUUGAGCCUUGGAGGCUACCGUGAUUGCCUGGUGGUUAAGCGCGUUGGGGACAGAGAGGCUAUGCGAUUCCACCUUCCCCUCUGGGCACCGAGUGAAUCCUGGGACCUGACCCCGGGAUAUGAUUCCUGACUUCCUUGCUGCCAUGAACAGCCCUUGGAGCUGGCAUCCUUACCGGUUUACAGAGGACACCACCGAGGCCCAGAGGGCCACCAGCCUGCCAGCAGCUGGUUGCUUGCAAGGGUCGGAACUGUGCCCCAAAACCUGUCAUCCAGGCUUCUCCUCAGCUCACAGCUGUCAGAUUCGCUCGGGCUAUUGUGGCCGCUGCUUAUGCCCGGCCCACCCUCUCCCACGCCUGGGGGCCCCAGAGACAGGAAAAGAGAGAGCCUGGUGGGGACAGACUCACAAGUGGCAUUCCCUGCCCUGUGCCAGGCUCAGCAACUCCGGGGAGGGGACCUGGGUCCCAGCAGCCCCGGAAGGCUGGCCGGCCAUGGGUCCCAUCCAGGGUCUGUGAUGCCAGAUCCUGGCUCUCAUUUGCCCCUGUAUCCCCAGGAUGCGCUUCUGGGGGCCUCAAGGCCUCUGGGUGCCUGCUCCUGGCCUGGCCAGUGCCCCCCAGCCACACUCCACCUGGGCCCAAGAACGAGCCUGAGCCAUCUCUGUGUAAGCUUGAUAUUAUUACAGGAUGGUCCUUUUUGCUUUGGAUGUUAUUUUUCUUAAUCUUACACGAAGACGUAGUGUGGGGCCCCUUAAACUGCCACAGCCUGGAAUGGCCCCAUGGGCGUGGCCCACUUCGGGGUCCCCUGGCCAGCCACAUCUGAGCCUCAGCCUGACCGGGGCUUGCGUCUCGUUAACUUUAUGGGCUGUGCGCAGGGAGCCCCGGAUGCCAGCCCUCCAUCCUUCCCAGACGCCAUUGUUGGCACGGCUUGCUGAGCAGAAACACUGGCCGCUUUAUGGGAGAAACCUAAUCAGGGCGGGCAGGGGGCCGGGGGGGGAGGGGGGGCUCUGGCUCCUGGUGGCCCUGAGCCAAGCCCGAGGUGACUUCAGGGUGAGACUGUCUGUCUGCCUUGCUCACUCCAGACAUCCGCCCAGCCCUGAAAGGGCCACCUGCCUGCUGAGGCCUCCGAGCACCUGUCCUGGAUGGCCCGUUCCUCCCCAGCCUGGCUGCCCGGCACCCUGCCCACAGGCAGACAUCGUGGGGUUGGGCAGGGCCCGGGAGGUGGCAGAUGGCGGGGCGUCUGCUGACUACUUGCUCCCUGGCGGCUCCACUCAGGGCUCGCCAUUCACUUGGCUCGGGCCAGGGAUUUAGCUCAGAGGUUCCACCGCCUGCCUCGAGAGCACAAGGUUCCAAGUUCUAUCCCUGGUACCAAAAAAAAUUAAGGCACUAUCCACCCUGCUGCCUGGCCCUCCCUGGGGCCCUUCUCCGCCAUCCCCAGGGAGGGGACGUCUCUGUGGUGUUCCCAGGAGCAAGCUGGAGGUCACGUCAUGGGCUGGGCUGCAGGCCAGGGGGGACCUGGAACAUCUCAGCCCCCACCCCAGACCUGACAUUGGGAUCUUUUCCCCACUGGUUCAGAAACGGCUGCCCCCACUCCCCAAGAUUGGUCCUUGUGUAAGGAGUCAUCCGGAUCCCAGGUGGCGCCCCCAGCAGGUCUGAAAGGUGGCCGAGUGGAGCUUCCGUCCUCAGCAGCCAUCCAGCCAGCCCAUCAACCUUCUCUGGAAAGUAGAGAGCCCCGGGCCACCUCACGGGGGCUGUGCUCAGAGCCAUGGCCCCUGCUGUCCCACAGGCUCCCCCAGCGUGGCUGCCCUUGGGGGUGGGGUCCCUGGGCAGCCUCUUCUCCCCGCCCCUCCAACUCUCAGCCCCCCAGUCAGCUUGCUGAGGACCCACCCAGGUGAGUCUGGCAUGGGCGAGAGGGAACCCCACACAAGGGAAACUGAGUCAUAUCUGGGCUAGUGCCUUGGUGGGCAGGGUAGGUGGGUCAGGCUCUUGGGUGUCAGUGCAGACCCCCACCGUGGGUGAGGAGACCACAGCCAACCAAGGUGGGAGAUGUGGGUGCCCAGAGCCCGCAGUGAGGGCAGCCAGGACUGCCUGGCAGGCAGUCCUGCCCCACAGCUGGCCUGGCAGGCUGGUUCAGAUCCCAGGAGCAGGGAGGGACCUAGGUCUAGGUGCCACCCCAGUGCCUUCCUCUGGCCGCUUCCAGGGGCCCACACAGGGGCAGACGACGUUCCCAGACAGCCAGGACCAGGAGCUGGCAUCCUCCCGGGUGACCAGACCAUAACAGCUGGUCUCGAAGCAGGGUGGCUGGGCAGUGCCAGGAUGCCCCCUUCACUCUGCAUUGCCAGAGGGUCAGGAGACGCAAUGUCACUCUCCUCCCAGACCCCACCUCUGGCUCUGCUUGGACAGGUUUUGGGGACAGCCAGUCCUGUCUGCUGACCAAGGGUCCAGUCCCUUCAGAUUUCCUUCUGGGGCCUCAUAGAGCCGUGGGGUGGCUGUCACCAUUACUGGACGGGGCCUGCAUGGGGCAGGGGGGUUAGCAGCACUGAGUGAGAGCCCUGGUGCUCACCCCACUGACUGAGGGACCUGGGACGGGGCAUGGUGCCAUGCGCCUGAAGCUGUCCAGGGUACGGUGCUGCCCUGCACCCGGGGACAGCGAGCCAGACAGCACACAGCCCCUCUUCUGAAGGGCUCUGCAAGCCCUGGGGCAGGGAGGACCUGGGAGGACUCCAUGCCCUGGCACCCAGCAGCGCCUUCUCUACACCUCCCUGUGCCAGGCACCCUGAGCCCUGUUCCCUGGAGGACAGGCACCAGGCCCUGAUGUCCAGCAGGGUCUGCAGUGCCACCUCCCUGGGCAGCCAGGCGAGCUCCAGAAAGAAGGAGCAGCGUCCUGUGCCUGUCCUGCCACAAGGCCUGCCCAGGCCACUGUGGGUGGCAGGGGCAGGACCAGAGCCCUAUGGGGGAAAAGCCCACCGCCCACCCAGAGUCCCAGUGCCACACCCUGUGACAGCCAAGUGGGAGGUGACAGCCUCCUCUUGGUGCCUCCCAGGUGGGUGGAGUCUCUCGGGGACACGGUGGCCACCCCUGUCUGGAUAGCAGUGGUCCGGAGGCCUAUGACUGGCCUCCCAAGCACCCAGUCUUUUCCUUCCCCUCCCACGUGGGUUGGCAAUGUCUCGUGGCCUUCUGUCCCCAGCAAUGCCCAGGAUCCACACCUGGCUCGCCCUUACCCCGCUUGUUGCUCCAGGAGGCACCCGGAAGCCAUGAGUCCCUGCCGGCGAGAGACUGACAGCCCUUUGGGGUGAGGUAGUAGGUUGUAUAGUUUGGGGCUCCGCCCUGCUGUGGAUAACUAUACAAUCUACUGUCUUUCCUGAAGUGGCCGUGAUAUCUGCGGUGGACACAGCCCUGGGCCCUGACUGGGACUUGUGGGGGUCAUGGGGGGUCAUGGCUACAGAGCAGCGAGAGGUGCAACCGGCUUGGGAGGCUCUGCGGGUUGGCCCCGCCCACCCCAAGGGUGUCCGUCCUGAUACCUGGCAUCUGCCCAGCCUGCCCCACUAGUGCUAGGCCUCUGGUGAGGGCAGUGGCUCUUCCCGGGCAGGGAAGGCAGCCCAGGGGCCUUUGCCUGAUAGCAUGCGAGAGGGGCACUCACUGAGACCACCCUUGUCUCCACCUCCUGCCCUGCGCCCACCUGGCCCUGCAGUGCCAGUGGCCAAGGCCCACAGGGCAGGGUUGGAAAGCAGGGCGCAGGGCAGGCCCUCCUGGUGGGAGCGGGCACCGGCGGGGUGAGGUAGUAGGUUGUGUGGUUUCCGGGCAGUGAUGUCGCCCCUUGGAAGAUAACUAUACAACCUACUGCCUUCCCUGAGGAGCCCCGUGACAUCCCUGGGGGCCCACCACAGCAGCCACGUGCUGGGAACAGCGCUGUUCUGACAAGGAAUGAGAGAAGCAGGGGCUGGAGCCCGGCCCCCGAGCCAGGGGCUGGUCAUUGUCAUUUCCUCCAGGGCCAGUGUGGGUGACGGACAGGCACAGGCCACCUCCCUCCUCUAGGCUGCUCAGUCGGUGGUCAUUUCUGUCCCCUUACCAGUACUAGGCCUCAGCCUCCAGACAGCGGCCUCUGCCUGCCUUAAGCCCCCUGCCCAUGCUGCCCUGGCCCACCCCUGUCACCCCAGGGCACCUCCCGUCUCCCCCCUGUUCCAUGGAGGCGCAGCCCCAAGCCGGGCCCCUGAGGAGGCAAACCUAGCCCUGCACCUGGUGGCUUUCUGGAGGAGAUGAUGCCAGCUCCUGUGUGUCCCUCCCUGACCUCCAGGACCUCUCAGCUGGUGGGUGUCAGGAUGCCCCAAAGGAGGGAAUGAGGGCAGGAGUUGUCCCUCACCCAGCAGCCGCCUGUGGAUGUCCCAGGGCCUCGGGCACAGGGCAGGUCCCUGACUUCCAGUGUGAGCUCAGAAGCCCGUUUGAGAGGGUGGUGUCAGAUUUACGGGAUGUCAGGCGCCACCUGCUGCCCGAUGCAGGGAGUGGCCUGGCCCAGCCCAGACCUGGAAGCUGAGGCUGCGUGGAGCCCUGAGAGCUGCCAGGAACAGCCCUACCAGGAAGGAGAAUGGGGCCAGGACCUCGGCGGAGCCCGCAGCGGCACAGCUCUACUGCUGCUCCCUGGGAGUCUGCCGGGGCCGGGCUCCCUUGUGUGUAGGCCGGAACGACGGCCCAGCAGACCCCGCCCGUAGAGCUCCAAGGGACAGGACUGCCGUCCAGGACCAGCACCGAGGAGAGGCACAGGGGCUCAGAGUCACACAGCAGGCCCCACCUGUUCAUCAGUGGGCACAGCUGGGGCCCAAGGGACAGCGAGGGACCCACAUGUCACUCCCUUUAACAUCCAAAAGAAGCCAGGUGUGGCUGACCCACACCUGAAAUCCCAGCGCUGGGGUGGCUAGGCAGGAGAAUUGUCAUGAGUUCAAAGUGAGCGUGGACUACAUAGCAAAACCCUGCCUCCAAAUAAAUAAUGAAAAUAAACUCUAAAGGAGAAAUGAACUUAAAAAUAUUGGACACAAAUGAUACAUAAUAGGUAUUGACCUGUAGGUAUAAUGAGUGCACAGUAUUAAUUUACGGUAUGCUGUUAGGUGUUAUGUGAUGAACAUAAUGAGACUUUAUUACACGAUAUAUAGUGGACGCGCGUCUUAUGUUGUGUGUCUGAUGUUUGUGAGGGGGCUGGACAACUGGAGAUUGAGCUUAGGGCCUUUGCACUAAGCUAGAUCCCCAGCCCUUUUUUUGCGGUAGGUUCUGGCUAAGUUGCCCAGGCUGGGCUUGAACCUGGCCAUCCGAGUGCUGGAUAAGAGGCGUGUGCCAUCACGCCUGAUUUGUCUUCGAGCUACUCCAGUCAAACCUGCUGGGUUCAUGGAGGAAGGGCUCGGGAAGGCCAGGUGCCCGCCCCCGGGGAGGGCAUGCUGGGCACCGCCCCCGGAGGGUGAGGGGCUCCUUCCGUUCCGGGCCUUCUCGGACCUGCUUCGCCCUGUGGAGCCACCGUCCGGGCAGCCCAGACUCGCCACCACCUGUCUCCCCCCCGCAGUCGGCGCGUUUUCCAGCAGCGCCACCGCGUGGCAGCAGGAGGAAGUGCUGGCUGAGAGCUGUGAUCACCACGCUCCGCCUACCCCAGUCAGCGCCCUGUCCGGGGGAAGGGGGGUGGAGCCUGGGUCCCAGGACAAGGCUGGGGCGGCCAGAGUGACCAAGGGGUGUCUGUCCUCCAUCUGCCCUGCACUCGCCGACCCCUGCCCUGGGCUCUGUGCCCAACACAGCAACAGGACAGGAUUGCCGGCUCAGAGAGAGGACUAAACCCAGGGAACAGGCUUGGCUCGCGCGCACACACACCCUGUGUCCUGCCACACACAAGCCUGUGAGAGGAGCCAGAGGGAGCUGCCCCAUCCAGGCAACCCACACGGGGACGGACAAGCCUAGGAAGUGGCUGGUGUGGCUGAGCCUCGCGACCAUGGAGGUGACAGGCUGGGAGGGGACAGGACCUGGGUCUCCCUGGGUCUCCCUGGCUCUCCUGCCAGGCCCUUCUGGAGGACUCCUGCUGGGGGGUCAGAGCAGGCGGGCCUGCGGGUGCUGCUCGCUCGCUGCCUGGGGAACAAGACCAACUCCACACCUAUCCACAGCAGCCCUCAGCCCCGGGCUUCCAAGCCCCUGCGGGACCUAGCCACAGCGCGUCCACGUGGGCAGCCAGGACACUCUCUUGGGUGACACUCAGUCCCCGCUGCAUGGACACGGAGCCCGAGUGACUUUCCCAGGGCCCCUUGGCAGGUCGGGGGGAGCCAGAGUGGGUGGCGGGCUCCCGCGUGUGGCAUGGUCCAGAGCGGGAGCCCUGGGGUGGGGACUGAGGCUCCACAGGCAGAACAGGGGCUGCCCACUUCCUUGGGUGGUGGGCAGAGGAGAGGCACGGCCCGAACCUGGAAGCAGGACAGCUGCACCCCAGCAGCCAGGCUUCCCUGGCCGCCUCUCCUCACCCUCUCCUCUUUCCCUCUCAUCCUGGGCCCAGCGGAGCCUCUGUCGCCCAGCCGAGCCCUGCCUGUCCUUUAGACCUUUGCAUCGCCUGCCUAAGGCCUGGGGAGCCCUUCAAGGUCCUGGCAGGAGUGGUUCCUGGGGGGUGCCCCCCACCUCCAUUGUGGGACCUGACGGGGAACCCCGGAGCCCAGCAGCUCACCCAGGGCCCACAUCCUGGCUGAACAGGAGGGGCCCCAGUGCUCAAAGUUCCCAGAGGUCCCAGGAGUGAGCUCAGGAGACGAGACCAGGGCUUCCUGCAGGAAGCAGUCAGGGGCCCAAGAAGACCCCAACGCCAGCUUCCUGAGCCCCUGUGGAGGGACGAAGGUGGCCACGCUCUACAGGGAAGGGACCCAGGGCCAGUGAGAGGAUCCCAGAGGCCGGGCUCUGCUGUGCACGAUGCUGGCCCUGGUCACACUCCGUUAGCCCACCAGGGGACAGGGUGGACAGGAGCUGAGGCUGUGUGCAUCCCACUCCUCAGGACUAGGGAAGGGUCUCCUCCUGUCCUAACCAUCUCAAUCCCAGGGUGCCCUCGUCUGCAUCCAAACAGAGUCCUCCCGUCACCGCCCCUACCAAGUGUGGCCAUGAGUGCCGUGGGCCCUGGCACCCACCCUCCCCUGGCACACAGUAGCUGUGCAGUCAGUGAAUUAAAGUCAGCGCUCGGUGAGAGCCCAAGGGCUGCUCAGCAGCAGGAAGCAGCCCCUGGGGACCCAGCUGGGGAGGUGGCUGCUGUCCCUGAUGCUCUGGAACUCAGAGGGGCCCAGGACACAGGCAUCCAGAGAUGCCGCCCAUGGAGUCUGGUCCUGGAGUCCUGCCCCAGAGCCUGCCAAAGGCUCUGACAAAGCCUACAGAGGGGGUCCUCUCGCUUCAGCCCUCCUGACUGUUCACAGCCUCCCCAUGCCAGACCCCAGCUCAAGUCCCUCAGGGGCUAUCUGUUCCCCAGGGUGUUGGCCCAGCCUGGCCACCAUGAGGGCAGGGAGCUCUGAGAGGGGCAGACUUCAGGAUCUGGAGCACAGUGGUCAGUGCGGACGGUACUGGGGGUAUCAUGCCCCAAACUUUGCCAGACCUACACGGUUCCCAGCCUGGCACCUCAUUAUCAGACCCAGCCUCCUGCCACUUCACUGAUGCUGCCCUCUAGGGCUUUGUCAAAGCCACUGCCUCCAGGCAGCCACCUGGCCCACCUUGCAAGAAGCCAGAGCCAGUGGUGGGGUCCCUGCUCCUGUGCUCACUACUCUGUGCCAUCCAAGGAGCCUAGCACCUUGUCCCCUGACCCUCUGGGCUGCAGGUCAGAGAGCCCCUCCUGCCCCAUCCCGAGGCAGGCUGACUAAGGAUGUGCCAAGCGGGUGUAGGGACGGGCCUGGCUGGGCGGCGCACCAAGGGGUCCAGGGAGCUCCGGGGUGGGCACAGUGUAGGGAACUCUGGGUGCCUUGGGUCUCCUGCCCAUCCCUGCUGUCAGUGGAAGCUGCAGACUGGGCCAUGGGGCUGGGCCGAGUGUGACACUCAGACCUAUCCCCUCCAUUUCAGUAUCUCACACCAAGACCCUGAGUGGGGUUCUGUGACAGCAGGGCUCCUGGGGCACAGCCUGGCCAGGGUGGCAGAGCAGGCCACCACUGGGGGCACACUCAGCCCUUGGGGUGUAGCACUCCGGAUGGACUUCCCAUCCUGGUGGAGCUGGCCCAGAGUCCCUGUAUCUCCCAAGGCCAACAGGCACAGGAUGGGCCUCCGGAGCCCUGUCCUCCAUCCCUGGUUUAGGCCCUGCCUCCACAAGGGACCGGGGGACUCCUAACCCCUCUUGUGAGCCUGUUUCUCUGUAUGCACCCUGAGGAGGGUCUGAGACACCGCCUGCUGUGGCCUGGGGCACAGUGGCUCCAGGUUUGACCAGCAGAUGGCGCUCGGAGCCCAGGGAAAUGUGGUGGGCGGCACUGCAGGUUGGCAGUGACAGGGGUGCAGCCUUGACCCCAGGCCGAGGACCCCCCCUUAAGAGUGAGGAGGUGGGGGCUGGUUCAGGAGAGCAGGGGUCCCCUCUCCUCUGGCUGCAGCCCGGGGACACUGCUGACUGGAGGGAGGAGCAGGGAAGACUUCAGAACACACGCAUAGGACUGUCAUCCCCUGUGGACGAGACUGUCCCCGGCAGGGUCACCCUGCAGAGUGGAGGGUGCUGGCUCAGGCCAGGCUAUGGGAGGCUGUGUGGCCCAGAGUCACACCCAGCAGGAGAUAAGAUGGCCAGAGAAGGGCCGAGGGAACCGCUGCUGUCCACCACUGUUGGAGUUGGGGGGGCGGGGAGGCGGCCUCUCAGGGGUCCUGCGAGUCUCACCUGUCCCCAGUACAGAGGCUGCCGUCACUUGUCCCAUCUCUGUG
RNAcentral lists this long non-coding RNA (20876 nucleotides) under Heterocephalus glaber (naked mole-rat). Its description in RNAcentral is "lncRNA (ENSHGLG00100035752.1)". The stretch from base 15774 to 15858 matches the Rfam family "let-7 microRNA precursor family". Lineage: Eukaryota; Metazoa; Chordata; Mammalia; Rodentia; Bathyergidae. The record is from RNAcentral.